AUUUAUGUAGUUUAACAUCAACUCAAAACCCUUCAUUUUCAAUGAAGAGACGGGAGACCAACAACAACCUCCCCAUAAAUA
RNAcentral lists this transfer RNA (81 nucleotides) under Scoparipes salvazai. RNAcentral's name for it is "tRNA-Glu". Lineage: Eukaryota; Metazoa; Arthropoda; Insecta; Hemiptera; Cydnidae. The record is from RNAcentral.